GUUGGUACAUUCCCUUUCCGGUUGUUGAUAUUUGUAAAUUUGUCUUGGUGUUUGUAAAAUUGUGUUCUUGGUAAUUUUCUGGUGUGUUCUUGUUUUCUGAAAUUUAAAUUUGUUUCAGGACUUGUAAAUGUGUUAUGGUAAUGUAAUUUGUUUUAUGAUAUUUAAAAAUGUUUUCUAAAAUUUAAUUUGGUCUCAAGCUCUGUAAAAGUGUUUCAGAUUUUGUAAUGUUAGUUUGCACCUCCAGGCCACCGUACUUUUCAUUUGUGUGUGAGCCAAAUGUAGCACACGGCUCGAUACUAGAUCCUACAAAAUAUAAACCAUGGACCAGAAACAGAAGAUUUUCGGAUCGACUCACAGAAGCAAUUAUUAGCAAAGAUGAUAGUAAAAAUUAAUAAAAUAAAUGAACCACUCGGAAUACUGGAAUGUAGCUAAUUAAAAGGUACAAGAAUAUGGGAUGGCUCGCCAGUCCAAACCAGGGAUAAGGAUCCACAGCCAGGACAGAAUUCAAGAUCACAGCAGCAAUUCAGAAGCUCACAAAAGAGAGAAAUAAAACAAGAACCACAAAAAAAAAAAAACCCGGCC
This is a long non-coding RNA of Carassius auratus (goldfish), 582 nucleotides long. RefSeq lists it as uncharacterized. NCBI's taxonomy places the organism in Eukaryota, Metazoa, Chordata, Actinopteri, Cypriniformes, Cyprinidae. The record is from RefSeq and is a predicted model, not a curated record. The transcript has 2 exons.